This is a long non-coding RNA of Oncorhynchus keta (chum salmon), 2937 nucleotides long. RefSeq lists it as uncharacterized. The transcript is spliced from 3 exons. NCBI's taxonomy places the organism in Eukaryota, Metazoa, Chordata, Actinopteri, Salmoniformes, Salmonidae. The record is from RefSeq and is a predicted model, not a curated record.
AUGUAUUUGGACAUGGUGAAGGAGGGAGACAUGGGCAUCCAUGACCUGUUGGAAAUAGAUGCUUCCCUUCUGGAGCACGGGGCUGACGACAACUCAGGUGGAAGGAGGCCUCAUCUCCCUGCACAACGCAGCCUCAUACAGGUCCUUUCCUCUCCUCUGUCACUUCUCUCCUAUCUCCCGUCUACAGCACAUGCAUAUUGUGGCCCUCCUGAUCAAGUUCAAUGAGCCUUCAACCCUCUCCACAAGACAGCUCAGAAGGAAAACAUAUUGAAUGCUGGUGAUUGCCCUAUUGAUGGACAUUAUGCCCCCAGGUACAGAGAAGAGGGAUUACCAGCUCAGCUCAUCAAACUGUCCAAUCUCUGGAGGGGACAAUAAGCAUUGCUCAAUCUUAAUAACAAACUUGUAGGCCGUCUGUAAAUAUGAAUACAAUUGUUAAAUUACGAGCCAUGUUGGUUAAGCCACAGAAAACGUUAGGAACCUUCCCACUAGCCAUGAUUGGCUAAGAUAAUGAGUGGGCUGGACAUGCUGAGAGAGGAUAGGAUUGGUCUGCCAUAUUGAAAGCUUCUGUCUAUUUGAGCUCAUCUGUCUGUGUUAGCAAUCCUGUCGAACGCUUCUUUUAAAAAAUGUAUUGUGUAGUGGAGCUGCAUUAGUGUUGCUCUCCACUUCCUGAAGGAUCAUCUCCAGAUUACAUCUUCAAACUAAGGGCAACCGUGGUAUGGCAUUCCAGACAGGGAAGGAGCUGCAUAAGUGUUGCUCUCCACUUUCUGGAGGAUCAAGUUUUAAAAUCAGUGGAAUUAGAGUAUGAUAGCUAAAGAAAUGGAGAAAACACCAGUCUCCGGAUUACAUCUUCAAUCUAAGGGCAACCAUGGCAUCCGACAGGUAUAUGGGUAAGAUCAAUCAAUCAAAUUUAUUUACAAAGCCCUUCUUACAUCAGCUGAUGUCACAAAGUGUUAUACAGAAACCCAGCCUAAAACCCCAAACAGCAAGCAAUGCAGGUGUAGAAGCACGGUGGCUAGGAAAAACUCCCUAGAAAGGCCAGAACCUAGGAAGAAACCUAGAUAGUAACCAGGCUAUGAGGAGUGGCCAGUCCUCUUCUGGCUGUGCCGGGUGGAUAUUAUAACAGAACAUGGCCAAGAUGUUAAAAUGUUUAUAGAUGACCAGCAGAGUCAAAUAAUAAUAAUCACAGUGGUUGUCGAGGGUGCAACAGGUCAGCACCUCAAGAGUAAAUGUCAGUUGGCUUUUCAUAGCCAAUCAUUCAGAGUAUCUCUACCGCUCCUGCUGUCUCUAGAGAGUUGAAAACAGCAGGAAUGGGACAGGUAGCACGUCCGGUGAAGAGGUCAGGGUUAGAUAUGAGUGCCCAAUCGACAAAUUUGCAUUCUUUAAAGAUAAAGUCAUGGUUAAAAGCCUGGGCUUAAUACUGGCAGGCACAAUAAUAGGCAUGAAUGAUCAGUUCCCGAAAGAACUUGGAGAACGGUGUAAAGUUCUGUAACCACUCUUCAAGAUAAAUAGAUUAGAAGGGAGACGUGUAGCUUUCGUAGUUGAUAAACUAUAUUGAUAACCAACUGUUCUGAGACACCAAGACUACUUGUGGUAGCAUUUUCCUGUAUUACCAAAUGAGGAGAGUUAAACCACACACCAGUCAGUUAUACUUAAACUUAAUCUUUAAUAAUAUGAGCUUUACAAUAGCCCUUUGACUCUCAGAUCUAUUCACCAUCUAUAAUGAAUUUUGAGAGUAACUACAGAAGAAUACAAAGAUCUUUUAUAGCCAAUAUACACCCCUCUCAAUUUACAUGACGAACCACAGAUCUUAGGAACUCUUCACAAAGGGCCUUUUACUUGAGAAAGGAGUAUCCCUUAGUCAGAUAGCAUUCGCUAUAAAGUAUUGCUCAGUUUGGUCUCUAAAACGAGGUUCUAAUCUCGUUCCUGGUACUUCAUAAUACAAAAACAUUACCUCAUCCAAGGCAUAACUCAAUUGUCAACUCUAGAUACUCCCAUCUCAAGUAAACCCCCUCUUGACCCCACUCCUGGACAAGCUCACUGAGGGGAGUGGAGACAAGUAAUUGGUUCCCCCUUAACCUCUGCGCACCAAACCCGUUAGCGGGAUUGAAUUCGACAACAUACGUUGAUCGCUACAUAAAUAGUCAUAUUAAACAUUCAUGAAAAUACAAGUGUCUCACAUGGGUCGAAAGCCUAGAAUCUUGCUAAUCCAACUGCGUUGUCAGAUUUUAAAAAGGAUUUACUGUGAAAGAAUACGAUGCGAUUAUCUGAGGACAAAGCCCCAUUAAAAAAAGCUAUUUCAACCAGCACAGGUGUAACAUCACAAAUUGCAAUUAAAUUAAUUGUUUACCUUUGACGAUCUUCCUCUGUUUGCAAUCCCGAUGCUCAUUGUUACACAAUGAAUGGCCUUUUGUUUGAUCAAAUCCAUUUUUAUAGCCUAACACGAAACAUUUUGUGAACCGCUUGUGUCAUGAAUUCCGUCUCAUUCCAUUUUCAACAACACAUUUGAUGUAAAUACACACACUAAACGUGACUUUUCCAGUCAUGUUUGGUUUCAUUGCAAUCAACUGGUUUUGUUUGUGUAAUGGUUCUCUUGGUGUGAAGGACAGUCGGACCAAAAUGCAGCAUGUAGAUUGCGAUCCAUGUUUUAAUAAACAAACGUAACACGAAUCUAAAUACAAACACUACAAAAAAAACAAUAAACGUAACAAAAACCGAAACAGCCUAUACUUGUGUACACUAACACAUAGACAGGAACAAGGACACUAAGGACAAUCACCCACGACAAACUCAAAGAAUAUGGCUGCCUAAAUAUGGUUCCCAAUCAGAGACAACGAUAAACACCUGCCUCUGAUUGAGAACCACUCCAGACAGCCAUAGACUUUGCUAGAUCACCCCACUAGCUACAAUCCCAAUAUAUACACACCACAUACAAAAACC